UUAAAAAGCUCGUAGUUGGAUUUCUGGGAGGGUGCCAAUGUCCGCCGACGUGCGUGCGCAGCGGCGCCCUUCCAUCCUUCUGUUAACACCUCUUGGCAUUCAUUUGCUGGUGGUGGGCUCAGAUAUUUUACCUUGAGAAAAUUAGAGUGUUUCAGGCAGGCUUGGCCGGAAUACAUUAGCAUGGAAUAAGGGAAUAGGACUACGGUCUCUUUGUUGGUUUAAGGGACUGCAGUAAUGAUUAAUAGGGAUAGUUGGGGGCAUUAGUAUUUAAUUGUCAGAGGUGGAAUUCUCGGAUUUGUUAAAGACUAACUUAUGCGAAAGCAUUUGCCAAGGAUGUUUCCAUUAAUCAAGAACGAAAGUUAGGGGAUCAAAGACGAUCAGAUACCGUCCUAGCCUUAACCAUAAACUAUGCCGACUCGGGAUCGGGGGCGCGAACUAUCCGCCUUCGGCACCGUAUGAGAAAUCAAAGUCUUUGGGUUCUGGGGGGAGUAUGGU
This 495-nucleotide ribosomal RNA is filed under the name uncultured marine eukaryote. RNAcentral's name for it is "SSU rRNA". It matches the Rfam family "Eukaryotic small subunit ribosomal RNA", at positions 619 to 1129 of the family's 1831-position model. The record is from RNAcentral.